RNAcentral lists this long non-coding RNA (273 nucleotides) under Physcomitrium patens. RNAcentral describes it as "long non-coding RNA (PPAT_LNC001151)". The record is from RNAcentral. Lineage: Eukaryota; Viridiplantae; Streptophyta; Bryopsida; Funariales; Funariaceae.
GUUAUUAGAAGAUUAUGAUUGUUGUUUAUUAAGAGUUGUGUGUAUUUUGGACAAAAGAAGUUGGUGAUUAUGGAAAUUCUGUGAAUUCAGAUUGGUUGGAGUGAAGUCUGUUAUUCUUGAUGUUAGAUGGAAAUUAUUGUGUUUUGAGCGGUUUUUUGAGAGUGUAGAGUUAUACAUUGUUGUUAUCAAUUGAUGAAGAAAUAUUGUUAUUGGGAGAAAGCAUUGUAGUAUUUUUUAGUAUUUUAGUGGUUCGAAAUAUGGUUAAUUGUGUGA